RNAcentral lists this ribosomal RNA (493 nucleotides) under uncultured bacterium. RNAcentral's name for it is "partial 16S ribosomal RNA". It matches the Rfam family "Bacterial small subunit ribosomal RNA", at positions 29 to 508 of the family's 1533-position model. The record is from RNAcentral.
AGUGAACGCUGGCGGUAGGCCUAACACAUGCAAGUCGAACGGCAGCACAGUAAGAGCUUGCUCUUACGGGUGGCGAGUGGCGGACGGGUGAGGAAUACAUCGGAAUCUACUUUUUCGUGGGGGAUAACGUAGGGAAACUUACGCUAAUACCGCAUACGACCUACGGGUGAAAGCAGGGGAUCUUCGGACCUUGCGCGAUUGAAUGAGCCGAUGUCGGAUUAGCUAGUUGGCGGGGUAAAGGCCCACCAAGGCGACGAUCCGUAGCUGGUCUGAGAGGAUGAUCAGCCACACUGGACCUGAGACACGGUCCAGACUCCUACGGGAGGCAGCAGUGGGGAAUAUUGGACAAGAGGCGCAAGCCUGAGCCAGCCAUACCGCGUGGGUGAAGAAGGCCUUCGGGUUGUAAAGCCCUUUUGUUGGGAAAGAAAAGCAGCAGGUUAAUACCCCGCUGUUCUGACGGUACCCAAAGAAUAAGCACCGGCUAACUUCGUGC